AUUGAACGCUGGCGGCAGGCUUAACACAUGCAAGUCGAGCGGAGAUGAGGUGCUUGCACCUUAUCUUAGCGGCGGACGGGUGAGUAAUGCUUAGGAAUCUGCCUAUUAGUGGGGGACAACAUUCCGAAAGGAAUGCUAAUACCGCAUACGUCCUACGGGAGAAAGCAGGGGAUCUUCGGACCUUGCGCUAAUAGAUGAGCCUAAGUCGGAUUAGCUAGUUGGUGGGGUAAAGGCCUACCAAGGCGACGAUCUGUAGCGGGUCUGAGAGGAUGAUCCGCCACACUGGGACUGAGACACGGCCCAGACUCCUACGGGAGGCAGCAGUGGGGAAUAUUGGACAAUGGGGGGAACCCUGAUCUAGCCAUGCCGCGUGUGUGAAGAAGGCCUUAUGGUUGUAAAGCACUUUAGGCGAGGAGGAGGCUACUGAGACUAAUACUCUUGGAUAGUGGACGUUACUCGCAGAAUAAGCACCGGCUAACUCUGUGCCAGCCGCCGCCGUAA
This 501-nucleotide ribosomal RNA is filed under the name uncultured bacterium. RNAcentral's name for it is "partial 16S ribosomal RNA". It matches the Rfam family "Bacterial small subunit ribosomal RNA", at positions 30 to 523 of the family's 1533-position model. The record is from RNAcentral.